CGGGGUGUGGCUCAGUGGUAGAGCACCUGCCUAGAAUGCCCCAGUGAGGAUUCAGAGGUAGAGCAUCUGCCUAGUAGGCACAAGGCCUUGGGUUCUAAUCCUAACACCAUAU
Molecule: non-coding RNA, 112 nt
Organism: Cricetulus griseus (Chinese hamster)
Lineage: Eukaryota; Metazoa; Chordata; Mammalia; Rodentia; Cricetidae
Source: Rfam